ACUCCUACGGGAGGCAGCAGUGGGGAAUAUUGCACAAUGGGGGAAACCCUGAUGCAGCCAUGCCGCGUGUGUGAAGAAGGCCUUCGGGUUGUAAAGCACUUUCAGUAGGGAGGAAGGUAGUGUAGUUAACACCUGCACUAUUUGACGUUACCUACAGAAGAAGCACCGGCUAACUCCGUGCCAGCAGCCGCGGUAAUACGGAGGGUGCGAGCGUUAAUCGGAAUUACUGGGCGUAAAGCGCAUGCAGGCGGCCUGUUAAGUCAGAUGUGAAAGCCCGGGGCUUAACCGUCGGAAUUGCAUUUGAAACUGGCAGGCUAGAGUCUUGUAGAGGGGUUAGAAUUUCGAGGUGUAGCGGUGAAAUGCGUAGAGAUCUGAAGGAAUACCGAGUGGCGAAGGCGGCCCCUGGACAAAGACUGACGCUCAGAUGCGAAAGCGUGGGAGCAAACAGGAUUAGAUACCCCGUGGUAGCGACUA
This 474-nucleotide ribosomal RNA is filed under the name uncultured bacterium. RNAcentral's name for it is "bacterial SSU rRNA". It matches the Rfam family "Bacterial small subunit ribosomal RNA", at positions 335 to 797 of the family's 1533-position model. The record is from RNAcentral.